GUUCUUAUUUUGUUAGCACAUAAACUAAAAUUGGAUCAAUACAGAGCUUAGAAUGAUGCCUGCUCAAUGUUGACAUGCAGAGAAGAAUUCUGUAUUUUG
Small nuclear RNA from Bos indicus x Bos taurus (hybrid cattle), 99 nucleotides. The record is from Ensembl. NCBI's taxonomy places the organism in Eukaryota, Metazoa, Chordata, Mammalia, Artiodactyla, Bovidae.